UUGGGAGAGAGCCGGAGUUACUACUCCUAUCAUCCUGGAGGACUGGCUGGGGAUGGAGCUGCUGGGGGCAUAGACCCUGGAUGUUGAGUUCUGGGGGAUAUCUUGUGUGAAGACUCCACUGCUGCUGCCCACCAUGAGAUGUUUGGGGGUCAUCCUGCUCCUUGUGGACGCUGCUUUCACCUUGUCAAUGAACUCUCCGGAACUGAAUGACUGCGUAUCAGCAGAGGAGCUGUGUAGGAAUGAUCCUCUGUGUAAUAGCACUUACCAAGUGCUAAAGAACUGCUCUAGAGCGGACACAUCGGCAUGUCAAGAGGCAGCUGAGCUGAUUCCUCAGACUCCCAUCAUCCACUGCAAAUGUCAUCAUCGUAUGAGGAAGGAAGAGCAUUGUUUGGAUGUUUAUUGGACUGUGCAUCCUGACUUUAAAGCUGAUCUUACAGGUUACCUGGUUUCAUCUGACUCUCCUUAUUCAGAUGAGUCAGAAACAAAAGAGGAAAGAAAGCAAAAUCCCUUUUUCGAUUCUGAGCCUGACCUCAGCGAUGCCUCCAACGCUUGUAUACAUGAGGCCAAUAUUUGCAGUUCAAUUGAGAAGUGUGAAACUCUGAAGACCGAAUAUGUCAUGCACUGCAGUUCCAUAAAAUCUGAAGGUUCCUGUGAUCGACGGAAAUGUCACAAUCACCUCAGAAACUUUAUUAAAAAAAUCCCCAUGGAAUUUACCAAGCGACUCCUAUUUUGCCCCUGCGAUCAGGAUAAAAGCUGUGGAGAUCGCCGACGCCAGAUUAUAGUGCCCAAAUGCUCUUUUGAGGAAAAGGAAAAGAAAAACUGCCUGUCACUUUACGACUCCUGCAUGAGCGAUACCUUGUGCAGAUCUCGUCUUUUGGACUACCAGAAACAGUGCCGCCUGUUUGAGAAAAACAGAGAAGGCUGUUCUCCAGGACAAUUUGAUCCAUGCAUAAAGUCCUACAUUAGGAUGAUUGGUACUUCAGUCACUCCCAACUUCAUUAACAACUCAAGCAUGGACACAUCACUGUGGUGCACCUGUGAAGGUAGUGCUAAUAAGCUAGAAGAGUGCGAGGCCUUCCUUGGGAUGUUCACUUCCAACAAGUGUCUCCAAAAAGCGAUUAGCCCAGACCUUAACCAAAGCCUCCCAAUGACAUUAAAUGAUGACCAGAAAAGUCCCACUGAUGGGAAAAGGGAUACUGAUUUAGCUGUCCUCGCUGAAAAAAAUCAGAAAACGCCGACUUCUCAUUCACUGCCAGGUGCUGCAGCUCCAUCUUUCACACUGCUUAUGUGGCUGUUCAUAGUGGUGUCAUUUAUGUGACAGAAGACCAGGAAGGCCUACAAAGUAAAUUGACAGCACAAUAAUCAUGGACAUGCCUGGCAUAGGAAAAGACAGCUGGAAAACACACAAGUGUGCUUUUUUUCACUCUUGGACUUAAAAGCUGAAGAUGAUUCACAAGGCAAUAAGACUAGGUGGUAUCAACGCACAAAGCCCACCCACAUGCAGUGGUCUGGAGAGUGCAUGGGCUAUGUAAAGUACCACGCGUGACCUGUUCAUUGAAGCUGUAGAUGUUGGAGAGUUGCUCCUCAGAGUGUCUACAACCAAAGGUAACUCAAGCAUUUUACCAGAUGCCAAGAAAGUAAUCAGGACACAGUCAUGUGGACGUGGCAUCUAGAUUCAUACUAUGUUCCUGCUAAUGUGACUGCAAGCUCUGCUCACUAACUAUACCAAUAUUAUAUAUGAAAGACUAUAUUUGUAUAUUAUAGUCAAUAGAAAAAUAAGGCAACUUACAUUGAUGGGCUUUGCUUGUAGAUUUUCCAUCAGCACCCUAAACAAGAAGCAUUUAAUGUUCUUUCAAGCUUUUCUUCUAGACACAAUGGUCUGAAAAAGGCAUAUUCUAUAUAAAGAGAUGAUUCCUUGGAAGAUUCCUUGGAUUGUCAGAUGAGAGUCAAUCUCAUUUUAUGAGAAUUCUUUCAGCUACUAUUUUUUUUACUUUCCUUUCUAUCUAUGGUUCCCCAGCAUUUGCAUAUCUUCAUAUACUGUAAAUGCGUGGAGAGUGGAGACUUAUUCAUGUAUACAUCCAGUAACAACUGUAAAAGUCUAGUUUUGGAGGUGGAAACAUAAGACUGUUAUUAUUAAGCAUAAGACUGUUAUUAUCUGGACAAAUUAGUUCCAGCUCAAGGGUAUUGGCACAUGAAAGCAUUUUAAAAUGACAGAGGUAAUCUUUAGCCAUAUAGCAGUAUAGGCCUGUUUACACUGGCCAGUUAUCCUUAUGGUUUGUUGGCCUCCAAGCAAUUGUAUAAAUAAUUUACCACUGUAAAUUAGAGAAAUAUCGGCAGUAAAUAAUAAAACGAUAAUUUAUGGUUGAUUUUGAUUAAUUGUGCCACCUUAAAAAUCAUCAUUGUUGGCAGCACGAAGGGUAAAUGUAAAAGGCACAUUAGGCUGCCUUGUGCAUGGGUCUUGUGAGAGCCGUUAACAGGCAAGAAUAAUGUUCCUUUUCCGUUGGGGAGAAGUUUCCUCAGAUCAUUAAGAAGGACUUCUUAAUUCACUGAUCAUUAAUAUGUGGUUUAUAAAGGAACCUUUAUGGAGUUGUCUCAUUAAUGGCAACUUCUGUCCAGAUGUGGAGAGCUGGACUCGAAGAGCGGUUCUUUGUUCUGGUUGAAUGGUUGCUAUGCAAUACUACAUUUCACUUACAGCACAUCGGGCCAGACAUGUCAUCCCUCAGUGAUAAUAGCUGAUCAUCCAGGUUGGUGGGGGUUACAGAGAAGUCAGGCCAUCAGUGAUGAGCUGAUCAUUGUGCCAGAUUCUGUUUAUAAAAGGGAGACAACUUCUUUGAGGAAUGUACAAUAAUAAAUGUACAGAAUUUGUCCCUUUAGAUGUAUGCCCCAAUCCACCACCUCCACCAGCGGUGGGCAGGUUAUAGAGAAGUCAAACCCGUGGUGAUCAUCUGAUCGCUUGGUUAGCUUCAGUUUUUUUAAAGGAUUCUCUCCAUAAGCCAAAUAGGGACUUCAGGGUUUCUGGGAUUUUUAUAUUGAUCACCUAUACUCAGAAUAGGCCAUCAAUAUCAGAUCGGCCAGGGUCUAAUACCCUGCCCCCCUGCUGAUCAGCUGUUUGGGAGUAGCCCCAGUGGUGGAACUACACAGCUCUGUCCAUUAUGUAGUGGACAUAGCUGGUUACUGCAGUGCCGCACCCAUUCACUUCAAUGGACGCAGCACCCAAGCUUCUUCCAAACAGUGGAUCUGUGGUGGUGCGGGGUAUCUGACCCCCACUGGUCUUAUUGAUGGCAUGUCUUUAUUAUAGGACAUCAGUAUAUAAAUCACGGAAAUCCUCUUUAAGGUAUGUAAAGAUAGAUAUAUACAGAAUUUGACCCUUUACGUCUAUGUCGUAUUUAUAAAUUAUGGUGUCAUAUGAUCACCCUAUCUACAUAGAAAAAACAGCUAUUCUCCAUGACUGAGUUUUCUGAAUAGAUAUCUAUCACUAAACUAGUGCUGUAGUGAAAAUAGUUAUUGGAUCAGACAUUUCUUGAGAUUGUUUUUUAGAUGAGAGAUUAUUUCAAAAGAACACCCCUUUGCCCCCCUGAACAGCCCUUUGCAUUAUACAUGUUUGAAUUUCAGGGUUGGUACAAAGAUUUGGGUUGUUUGCAUCUCAGGUUCACAUCACGUUUUAUGCCUCCGUUUGACGUAUACGUUAGAAGAAAAAAAAAGGCAGCACGCCAUGUUCUUUUUUUUUACAAUGGUAAAAAAA
Molecule: RNA transcript, 3742 nt
Organism: Bufo bufo (common toad)
Lineage: Eukaryota; Metazoa; Chordata; Amphibia; Anura; Bufonidae
Gene: GFRA3
Gene name: GDNF family receptor alpha 3
Exons: 9
Source: RefSeq, a predicted model, not a curated record